AUCAGUGGCGAACGGGUGAGUAACACGUGAGCAAUCUGCCCCUGACUCUGGGAUAAGCGCUGGAAACGGCGUCUAAUACCGGAUACGAGCUGCGAUCGCAUGGUCAGUAGCUGGAAAGAAUUUCGGUCAGGGAUGAGCUCGCGGCCUAUCAGCUUGUUGGUGAGGUAAUGGCUCACCAAGGCGUCGACGGGUAGCCGGCCUGAGAGGGUGACCGGCCACACUGGGACUGAGACACGGCCCAGACUCCUACGGGAGGCAGCAGUGGGGAAUAUUGCACAAUGGGCGGAAGCCUGAUGCAGCAACGCCGCGUGAGGGAUGACGGCCUUCGGGUUGUAAACCUCUUUUAGCAGGGAAGAAGCGAAAGUGACGGUACCUGCAGAAAAAGCGCCGGCUAACUACGUGCCAGCAGCCGCGGUAAUACGUAGGGCGCAAGCGUUAUCCGGAAUUAUUGGGCGUAAAGAGCUCGUAGGCGGUCUGUCGCGUCUGCUGUGAAAACCCGAGGCUCAACCUCGGGCCUGCAGUGGGUACGGGCAGACUAGAGUGCGGUAGGGGAGAUUGGAAUUCCUGGUGUAGCGGUGGAAUGCGCAGAUAUCAGGAGGAACACCGAUGGCGAAGGCAGAUCUCUGGGCCGUAACUGACGCUGAGGAGCGAAAGGGUGGGGAGCAAACAGGCUUAGAUACCCUGGUAGUCCACCCCGUAAACGUUGGGAACUAGU
This 715-nucleotide ribosomal RNA is filed under the name Microbacterium imperiale. RNAcentral's name for it is "bacterial SSU rRNA". It matches the Rfam family "Bacterial small subunit ribosomal RNA", at positions 91 to 820 of the family's 1533-position model. Lineage: Bacteria; Bacillati; Actinomycetota; Actinomycetes; Micrococcales; Microbacteriaceae. The record is from RNAcentral.